GACGAACGCUGGCGGCGUGCCUAAUACAUGCAAGUCGAACGCAGUGGGGACGGGUGAGUAACCCGUGGGUAACCUCCCAUCAGAGGGGAUAACACUUGGAAACAGGUGCUAAACCGAUACUGAUGGAUGGACCCGCGGUGCAUUAUCUAGUUGGUGAGGUAACGGCUCACCAAGGCCACGAGGCAUAGCCGACCGUGGCAGGGGAUCGGCCACACUGGGACUGUGAAACGGCCCAGACUCCGACGGGAGGCAGCAUUAGGGAAUCUUCGGCAAUGGACGAAAGUCUGACCGAGCAACGCCGCGUGAGUGAAGAAGGUUUUCGGAUCGUAAAACUCUGUUGUUAGAGAAGCGGUAUCUAACCAGAAAGCCACGGCUAACUACGUGCCAGCCGCCGCGGUAAUAC
Molecule: ribosomal RNA, 403 nt
Filed under: uncultured bacterium
Lineage: Bacteria
Description: partial 16S ribosomal RNA
Rfam family: Bacterial small subunit ribosomal RNA
Source: RNAcentral